Molecule: ribosomal RNA, 836 nt
Filed under: uncultured bacterium
Lineage: Bacteria
Description: bacterial SSU rRNA
Rfam family: Bacterial small subunit ribosomal RNA
Source: RNAcentral
GUCGAGGGGCAGCGAGAGUGAUAGCAAUAUUACUUGUCGGCGACCGGCGCACGGGUGCGUAACGCGUAUGCAACCUACCAUCAACAGGGGGAUAACACUGAGAAAUUGGUACUAAUACCCCAUAAUAUCUCAUGCGGCAUCGCAUGGGGUUGAAAACUCCGGUGGUUGAUGAUGGGCAUGCGUUGUAUUAGCUGGUUGGUGAGGUAACGGCUCACCAAGGCGACGAUACAUAGGGGGACUGAGAGGUUAACCCCCCACAUUGGUACUGAGACACGGACCAAACUCCUACGGGAGGCAGCAGUGAGGAAUAUUGGUCAAUGGACGCAAGUCUGAACCAGCCAUGCCGCGUGCAGGAUGACGGCUCUAUGAGUUGUAAACUGCUUUUGUACGAGGGUAAACCCCGAUACGUGUAUCGGGUUGAAAGUAUCGUACGAAUAAGGAUCGGCUAACUCCGUGCCAGCAGCCGCGGUAAUACGGAGGAUCCGAGCGUUAUCCGGAUUUAUUGGGUUUAAAGGGUGCGUAGGCGGUUUGAUAAGUUAGAGGUGAAAUGUCGGGGCUCAACCCCGAAACUGCCUCUAAUACUGUUGGACUAGAGAAUAGUUGCGGUAGGCGGAAUGUAUGGUGUAGCGGUGAAAUGCUUAGAGAUCAUACAGAACACCGAUUGCGAAGGCAGCUUACCAAACUAUAUCUGACGUUGAGGCACGAAAGCGUGGGUAGCAAACAGGAUUAGAUACCCUGGUAGUCCACGCAGUAAACGAUGAUAACUCGUUGUCGGCGAUACACAGUCGGUGACUAAGCGAAAGCGAUAAGUUAUCCACCUGGGGAGUACGUUCGCA